UUCUAUAGCCAUGCCACCCUGAACAAGCCCAAUCUUGUCUGAUCUUGGAAGCUAAGCAGGGUUGGGCCUGGUUAGUACUUGGAUGGGAGACCACCUAGGAAGACCAGUUGCUGUAGGCA
This 119-nucleotide ribosomal RNA is filed under the name Pteropus alecto (black flying fox). The record is from RNAcentral. Lineage: Eukaryota; Metazoa; Chordata; Mammalia; Chiroptera; Pteropodidae.